This 240-nucleotide unclassified non-coding RNA is filed under the name Hevea brasiliensis (rubber tree). Lineage: Eukaryota; Viridiplantae; Streptophyta; Magnoliopsida; Malpighiales; Euphorbiaceae. The record is from RNAcentral.
GCGAUUUUGCAUUUUUGUUGUUGAUGGGUACUAGUAUUUUUUAUUGCUUUUAUCUUAUUGAACAUUGAUGGAUAAUAACGUCCCCUAGGAUUUGAAUUUGGAAAUUUUUUUUCUAAUUCUUUUUGCAUGCAGAUAAAUUUUCAUGGCAUAUGCAUCAUGUGAUUCUUUAUUUUCCUCCUUGCUAAACCUAUAUGUAAUGGUGCAUCAAAGAAGAAAGUAUGCAUGUUGACUAACUUAUGC